CCACAGACAUGGCAGCCCGGGCCGGCAGUCCCUGGCCAGCGAGCAAAGGGGCUGCGGAGCGAGGCCCGCGCCCCGAGGUGGGCGAGUGCGCGUACGAGUCACAGAAUAAGUUAGAUUAGAAAAGACCUUUGAGAUCAUCGAGUCCAACCUGAGACAGAAUACCACCGUGUCAACCAGAUCACGGCACUGAGUGCCAUGUCCAGUCUUACGUUAAACACCUCCAGGGACGGAGACUCCACCACCGCUCCUGGCAGCUCCCAAUGCCUAAUUGCCCCUUCUGUGAAUAAAUUCCUCCUAAUCUGGGAGCGCUCUGUACUGCCCAUCCCGGAGGUGUCCAGAGCUGCCUCGGGCUCCCGUCGGCAUUAUAAAAAAACAUAUAUGCAAAACAUAAAUGAAAACCCCAAAACCCCACACUUGUAUGCCAAAGGGUAAAUAAGCGCACAAGCCCCGCGCUCUCUGCCAGGCCCCCGCGCGUGCCGGUGAUGGCGCAGGGCACGGUCUGAGGGAUCGCAGAGCCCUGACAGCGCACCCGCCCCUCAGAGGGGCUGUCGCAGGCGCAGGUGACACUGGCGCGGUUCUUCCCCAGCCUUCUCGGCCCCUGAGCCGUCCCAGAGGUUACGGACCCACCACGAGAUUUCCUCAAAUCUCUGAGGGCUCGUCCGUGAGGAAAUGCCCCAACCCGGCAUUUCCCUUCGGUGCGUUUGGACUCCGUCGGGCCGCACACCAUUACGGGAUAGGAGUGGAAGGCAAAUGCAGGCACGUGCGUGUUUUUAAUGGAAAAUCAGGGGGUGUUGAUCCAAAACCGGACAUUUGCGAGGCGGGCUUCCCUUGCCGCUCACCCUCAGGGCUGAGCUCUCUGCAAUCCACGUAAGAGCCGAAGCAGGUAUUUGGGAAGAGCCUAGACUAAACACAGAAUCCCUACUGCAGCCUGCAAGAGGAGUCUACAGGCGGGAGGAGAUUCACAGCCCUUAUUCCUCCAAGGGGAUUUUUCCCACAAGCACACCUGGUCACCCAUUCAUACCAAUAGAAAACCAAGAAGAGAUGGAAUCGAUUCAUUAAAACAAAGGACAUUGCAUGAGACUGGGCCACAGCCUGUCUGGAGCUGAGCUGCUUCACCUCUGGAGUUUCUAACUUCCAGAUGUUUGUGUUGCUUUCCUGGGCUGGCCAACAAGAAAGCUGAGGUGGAGGAUGAGUCUGAUGUCCUGGAAAAGCCAUAGAGUCAGAAUGAGAGAGCACAGGUAUUGCAGAGCUUUUCAGCUCCUCUUGCUGCACACAGCCUUUUCACAAAGGUAGAGCUGGGACUUGUCUGUAUUUCUCUCCCUGCUGUCCUUCUGAACACCAUUCUGCAUGCAAAUGUUGAAUGCAUGGACUAAAUACCUUGAAGCUCAUCCUUUCCAGGAGAUGCACAUUACCUUGUCUUCUUCAAGCCUCUGUAUGGCUUAUACUGCAGCUGAUGCCAAAGCACAAGUGAGGGGAAAAACGGUGGUGGAAAUUCAAGGAAAGAAGGAAGCCAGGGCAGCUCUGACAACUUUUAUGUCUCCUCCUAAAGCUGGCAUGGGCCUACACAGACUGGGGGAAGCACAUGUAUCCAUGUCUUCAGCUCACAGCAGUUUGGAAUGAGGGUAAGAGGACCUAUCAUCCCAAACCCAAGCCAUUUUCCUAAAGAAGCUGUUGGAGAUCUUUGGUGCUGCCUCCCAUAGCCACCUCCUGGCACAGUAGAGGUGGUGGUACCAGUCUCCUCCAGCAGUAUCUGCAAGUGUAUGGGAAGCAGGUGGAGGCAUGGCUGGGGAAAUGGGGGGGCACAGAGCAGGGCGGAUGGACUAAGUGUCCAAAACAGAGAGAGAAAAUUAAAAUCCUACAGAGGGAACCCUUCCUACUCUUGGAAGGUACUUUGAAGGGCUGUUUUAAAAGAUUUCUCCAGUGGGCUGAUGAAGAAGGCAGGCUCGAGGUACAAGCACAUAUUGCUUUCAGGUAUGUUCAUGGGGCGUUUAGGGACAGCUUGAUCUAUUUAAGAUGCAAAAGACAGUCCAAGAUAGACUGAAAAUUUGGAACAAAACUGAAAGACAUUAUGUUGUUACAACCAGAUAAACAGUCUGUUCCUCUCUCAAAAUUAAGCAGAUUUGACUACAGUUAUUUCUACGUUAUAUUCUCCUGUUGUGUACUUCAGAUGAAGUUCUGUCUCCAGAGAAUUAAACACCUCUGUAUCCACAUGGCUGCCCUGGUCCAGUUGGGGAAUGCAACCUGUCCCUGGAAAGAAGUUACCCAUAAACAGUGAAAAUACUUGUCAAAAUUGUACAGAGAGCCUUUUAAUUAAAAGUAAAGCAAAGCAAAACAAACCCCAGCCUAAUUAUGUUAGUCUCAUGAUGAGGAAUUCAGCCUACUCUUACUUUACUGUACCUGCAGCUCUCAUUUUUCAAUGGCUGGGAAUAGAUAUACAUAUUCAAUGCUUGCCCUGGUUCUAGAACUGCAUUCAGUCCAAAACGUAAAAUCACUUUGGUUAAAUGCUCUGUCCUUCUUAAGUCUCCAGCCUUGAAGUUUUCACUCAUCAGUGUAGUGCCAGUAUUCAGACCCUGGCUUUCAUCCUGGAGGCAGGAGGGUCAGUGUUUCAUGCUCAGGGUGUCAGAGGUUUCCAGUCAGAUGUUGGACAAAACACCGCUUUUCAAGGAGACUCUCACAAGCUGCUGGAGCUUUCUGAGCCUAUUUUGUCCAAGAAAAAAAUAUUUUAGAUCCAUAAUAAGGAGUUUAUUCCAGGUCUUUUUCUAUUUUGUAUGCAGUAUUUUAGUUAUGGCUCUACCCAUGCCAACACCACAGGCUGCUAUUUUGCUGUUGUUCCUAUGAAUGAAGUAAAUAGCUCUGCAUUCCAGCUCAUGAUAAUAACACAGCUAUAUUCCUAGUUGGCCUUGGCCAAAACAAGCUAUUAAAAUGAGUUUUGGUUUGUCACGUUUCAUGUUCUGAAUCAUCUUCAGGAAGUGUGGAUCUGGUGGAAAGGCACUGAACAGGCAGGAAAAAUGAACCUCUCAUGCCAGGAUCCACUGGGACAAAAGCAAUAACGUUCCUUGUCUCCUAAUGUGCAAAUGUGUGUGCGGAAAAAGGCUCAUUUUUUAAUGUGUUCAAAACACAGUGCCCCUUUUUUUGCCAGUUGUAACUCACGGUGAAAUUCCUGUGCUGACUCUCCUCUGUCUUCUGCUGCGGGGAGUGGGCAGUGGAAAAUGCAGCACGAGGUUUCGCCAAGUGCUUCCCUGUUACUGGAGUAAUUUUGCUCAAUGGUUUUUCCGAUAGGGUGAAAAGAAGGUUAUCUCAUAUGACUUGAACUGUGCAGCCUGAUACAAUCAUUAGGAAGCUUUGACUGUGUAAUAACUAACUUGUGAUAUUAGUGCAGCUUUCUGCAGGUGCCUCUCUGAAGCUCCUACCUUGGCAGCCGCUGUGGGCAGCCUCCCCUAUCGUGGAGGCAGCCCAUGAUGGCAGUCACUGGUGGGGAUGGUGGGCUGAAGAGACCAUCCUUGCGUUCACUGUGUGACGCUGCUGCCUUCUGCCUUGAUGUGCAUGAAGAAGGCUUGAGCCCUUUCUGCUCCCCACACUCGCCACCCCAUGUUCUCCUUGGCACAGGCUCAUUGCUUUAUUUGUGUGGGGUUGCAUCUGUGCCUGGAUCCCAUUGGACCUUGGUGAGGAUCCAACAUCAUUCAUUUCAUGGGAAAAGCUUUUUUGAAGGGACCAGAAGAUUUCAGGGCAGUCAGGAGAGAGGCGUUCUCCUCAGCAAAACAAGCCUCUGAGUGGCUGCCAAUUAGCUGCUGUAACAGCUCAUGAUGUCAGGUAGUGUUUGAAAGGCAGAGAUUUAUAAUCCAGGGUCACAUAAUCUCUAUGGCAAAUCAAAUCUGUGAUGAAAAAAAGCAACCCUGUAAUAAAAAGAUUCAACACAGGAAGUCCGAUAAACUGUUAAUUUUACUUAAGAUAAUUACGGUAUUUACAUCUAGAUAGUGCUGACAGUCCAAGGCUUUGAUAAACUCUAAUGUGAUUUAUGGGCAGCAGAAAGGAUCUGGGUUGAACUCAUUGUCCUCACCUCAGGCACAUCUGCUCUAUGUGCAAAGCUCUGAUGAACACUUGCUGCCACAAUAGACAGGACUGGCCACAAGUGCCUCCUGUCAGAAGCAUGACAUCUUCAUGGGCUGCUGUUCAGGAGUGACCAGGGAUUAUUAAAUACUAAUGAAGAUACUACAG
This is a non-coding RNA of Cyanistes caeruleus (blue tit), 4215 nucleotides long. The record is from RefSeq and is a predicted model, not a curated record. NCBI's taxonomy places the organism in Eukaryota, Metazoa, Chordata, Aves, Passeriformes, Paridae.